RNAcentral lists this ribosomal RNA (117 nucleotides) under Calditrichota bacterium. The record is from RNAcentral. Lineage: Bacteria; Pseudomonadati; Calditrichota.
UCUGGUGGCUAUAGCGGUGGGGAAACACCUCUUCCCAUUCCGAACAGAGAAGUUAAGCCCACCAGCGCCAAUGAUACUAUGCGGUUCGCCGCAUGGGAAAGUAGGUCGCUGCCAGGG